RNAcentral lists this transfer RNA (58 nucleotides) under Mesocricetus auratus (golden hamster). It matches the Rfam family "tRNA", at positions 8 to 63 of the family's 71-position model. Rfam says of the family: Transfer RNA (tRNA) molecules are approximately 80 nucleotides in length. The record is from Rfam by way of RNAcentral. Lineage: Eukaryota; Metazoa; Chordata; Mammalia; Rodentia; Cricetidae.
UGGCUCAGUGGUCAAGAGCAUUGGGUGCUCUUCCAGAAGACCUGGGUUCAAUUCCCAG